RNAcentral lists this ribosomal RNA (596 nucleotides) under Klebsiella pneumoniae. Its description in RNAcentral is "bacterial LSU rRNA". It matches the Rfam family "Bacterial large subunit ribosomal RNA", at positions 476 to 1072 of the family's 2925-position model. The record is from RNAcentral. Lineage: Bacteria; Pseudomonadati; Pseudomonadota; Gammaproteobacteria; Enterobacterales; Enterobacteriaceae.
CUGACUGACCGAUAGUGAACCAGUACCGUGAGGGAAAGGCGAAAAGAACCCCGGCGAGGGGAGUGAAAAAGAACCUGAAACCGUGUACGUACAAGCAGUGGGAGCACGCUUAGGCGUGUGACUGCGUACCUUUUGUAUAAUGGGUCAGCGACUUAUAUUCUGUAGCAAGGUUAACCGAAUAGGGGAGCCGAAGGGAAACCGAGUCUUAACUGGGCGUUAAGUUGCAGGGUAUAGACCCGAAACCCGGUGAUCUAGCCAUGGGCAGGUUGAAGGUUGGGUAACACUAACUGGAGGACCGAACCGACUAAUGUUGAAAAAUUAGCGGAUGACUUGUGGCUGGGGGUGAAAGGCCAAUCAAACCGGGAGAUAGCUGGUUCUCCCCGAAAGCUAUUUAGGUAGCGCCUCGUGAAUUCAUCUCCGGGGGUAGAGCACUGUUUCGGCAAGGGGGUCAUCCCGACUUACCAACCCGAUGCAAACUGCGAAUACCGGAGAAUGUUAUCACGGGAGACACACGGCGGGUGCUAACGUCCGUCGUGAAGAGGGAAACAACCCAGACCGCCAGCUAAGGUCCCAAAGUCAUGGUUAAGUGGGAAACG